UGGUAGGUGUCAGGUGAGGAUGGUCAGUGUCAGGUGAGGAUGGUCAGUGUCAGGUGUGGAUGGUCAGUGUCAGGUGAGGAUGGUCAGUGUCAGGUGAGGAUGGUAGGUGUCAGGUGAGGAUGGUAGGUGUCAGGUGUGGAUGGUCAGUGUCAGGUAAGGAUGGUAGGUGUCAGGUGAUGAUGGUAGGUCUCAGGUGAUGAUGGUAGGUGUCAGGUGAGGAUGGUAGGUUUCAGGUGAGGAUGGUAGGUGUCAGGUGAUGAUGGUAGGUGUCAGGCGAGGAUGGUAGGUGUCAGGUGAGGAUGGUAGGUGUCAGGUGAGGAUGGUAGGUGUCAGGUGAUGAUGGUAGGUGUCAGGUGAGAAUGGUAGGUGUCAGGUGAGGAUGGUCAGUGUCAGGUGAGGAUGGUCAGUGUCAGGUGAGAAUGGUAGGUGUCAGGUGAGGAUGGUAGGUGUCAGGUUAGGAUGGUCAGUGUCAGGUGAUGAUGGUCAGUGUCAGGUGAGGAUGGUAGGUGUCAGGUGAGGAUGGUAGGUGUCAGGUGAGAAUGGUAGGUGUCAGGUGAGGAUGGUAGGUGUCAGGUGAGGAUGGUCAGUGUCAGGUGAGAAUGGUCAGUGUCAGGCGAGGAUGGUAGGUGUCAGGUGAGGAUGGUAGGUGUCAGGUGAGGAUGGUAGGUGUCAGGUGAGGAUGGUAGGUGUCAGGUGAGGAUGGUAGGUGUCAGGUGAGGAUGGUAGGUGUCAGGUGAGGAUGGUAGGUGUCAGGUGAGGAUGGUAGGUGUCAGGUGAGGAUGGUAGGUGUCAGGUGAGAAUGGUAGGUGUCAGGUGAGAAUGGUAGGUGUCAGGUGAGGAUGGUAGGUGUCAGGUGAGGAUGGUGAGUGUCAGGCGAGGAUGGUAGGUGUCAGGUGAGGAUGGUAGGUGUCAGGUGAGGAUGGUAGGUGUCAGGUGAGGAUGGUAGGUGUCAGGUGAGGAUGGUAGGUGUCAGGUGAGGAUGGUCAGUGUCAGGUGAGAAUGGUAGGUGUCAGGUGAGGAUGGUAGGUGUCAGGUGAGGAUGGUCAGUGUCAGGUGAGAAUGGUAGGUGUCAGGUGAGGAUGGUAGGUGUCAGGUGAGGAUGGUCAGUGUCAGGCGAGGAUGGUAGGUGUCAGGUGAGGAUGGUAGGUGUCAGGUGAGGAUGGUAGGUGUCAGGUGUGGAUGGUAGGUGUCAGGUGAGGAUGGUAGGUGUCAGGUGAGGAUGGUAGGUGUCAGGUGAGGAUGGUCAGUGUCAGGCGAGGAUGGUAGGUGUCAGGUGAGGAUGGUAGGUGUCAGGUGAGGAUGGUCAGUGUCAGGUGAGAAUGGUAGGUGUCAGGUGAGGAUUGUAGGUGUCAGGUGAGGAUGGUAGGUGUCAGGUGAUGAUGGUAGGUGUCAUGUGAGGAUGGUAAGUGUCAGGUGAGGAUGGUCAGUGUCAGGUGAGGAUGGUAGGUGUCAGGUGUGGAUGGUAGGUGUCAGGUGUGGAUGGUAGGUGUCAGGUGAGAAUGAUCAGUGUCAGGUGAGGAUGGUCAGUGUCAGGUGAGGAUGGUAGGUGUCAGUUGAGAAUGGUAGGUGUCAGGUGAGGAUGGUAUGUGUCAGGUGAGGAUGGUAGGUGUCAGGUGAGGAUUGUAGGUGUCAGAUGAGGAUGGUAGGUGUCAGGUGAGAAUGGUCGGUGUCAGGUGAGAAUGGUAGGUGUCAGGUGAGGAUUGUAGGUGUCAGAUGAGGAUGGUAGGUGUCAGGUGAGAAUGGUCAGUGUCAGGUGAGGAUUGUAGGUGUCAGAUGAGGAUGGUAGGUGUCAGGUGAGAAUGGUAGGUGUCAGGUGAGGAUUGUAGGUGUCAGAUGAGGAUGGUAGGUGUCAGGUGAGAAUGGUAGGUGUCAGGUGAGGAUGGUAGGUGUCAGGUGAGGAUUGUCAGUGUCAGGUGUGGAUGGUAGGUGUCAGGUGUGGAUGGUAGGUGUCAGGUGAGGAUGGUAGGUGUCAGGUGAGGAUGGUAGGUGUCAGGUGAGGAUUGUCAGUGUCAGGUGUGGAUGGUAGGUGUCAGGUGAGGAUUGUCAGUGUCAGGUGUGGAUGGUAGGUGUCAGGUGUGGAUGGUAGGUGUCAGGUGAGGAUGGUAGGUGUCAGGUGAGGAUGGUAGGUGUCAGGUGAGAAUGGUAGGUGUCAGGUGAGGAUGGUAGGUGUCAGGUGAGGAUUGUCAGUGUCAGGUGUGGAUGGUAGGUGUCAGGUGAGGAUUGUCAGUGUCAGGUGUGGAUGGUAGGUGUCAGGUGUGGAUGGUAGGUGUCAGGUGAGGAUGGUAGGUGUCAGGUGAGAAUGGUCAGUGUCAGGUGUGGAUGGUAGGUGUCAGGUGUGGAUGGUCAGUGUCAGAUGAGGAUGGUCAGUGACAGGUGUGGAUGGUAGGUGUCAGGUGUGGAUGGUAGGUGUCAGGUGUGGAUGGUAGGUGUCAGGUGAUGAUGGUAGGUGUCAUGUGAGGAUGGUAGGUGUCAGGUGAUGAUGGUAGGUGUCAGGUGAGGAUGGUCAGUGUCAGGUGAGGAUGGUAGGUGUCAGGUGUGGAUGGUAGGUGUCAGGUGAUGAUGGUAGGUGUCAGGUGUGGAUGGUAGGUGUCAGGUGUGGAUGGUAGGUGUCAGGUGUGGAUGGUAGGUGUCAGGUGAGGAUGGUAGGUGUCAGGUGAGGAUGGUAGGUGUCAGGUGAGGAUGCUCAGUGUCAGGUGAGGAUGGUAGGUGUCAGGUGUGGAUGGUAGGUGUCAGGUGAGGAUGGUCAGUGUCAGGUGAUGAUGGUAGGUGUCAGGUGAGGAUGGUAGGUGUCAGGUGUGGAUGGUCAGUGUCAGGUGAGGAUGGUCAGUGUCAGGUGAGGAUGGUCAGUGUCAGGUGAGGAUGGUCAGUGUCAGGUGAGGAUGGUCAGUGUCAGGUGAGGAUGCUCAGUGUCAGGUGAGGAUGGUCAGUGUCAGGUGAGGAUGCUCAGUGUCAGGU
Molecule: long non-coding RNA, 2955 nt
Organism: Oncorhynchus keta (chum salmon)
Lineage: Eukaryota; Metazoa; Chordata; Actinopteri; Salmoniformes; Salmonidae
Exons: 4
Source: RefSeq, a predicted model, not a curated record